Molecule: ribosomal RNA, 612 nt
Filed under: uncultured bacterium
Lineage: Bacteria
Description: bacterial SSU rRNA
Rfam family: Bacterial small subunit ribosomal RNA
Source: RNAcentral
CUGCGGCGGAUUAGCUAGUUGGUGGGGUAACGGCCUACCAAGGCGAUGAUCCGUAGGGGGCGUGAGAGCGUGGCCCCCCACACUGGCACUGAGAUACGGGCCAGACUCCUACGGGAGGCAGCAGUGAGGAAUAUUGCACAAUGGGCGCAAGCCUGAUGCAGCAACGCCGCGUGCGGGACGAAGGCCUUCGGGUCGUAAACCGCUUUUCUGGGGAAAGAGCAAGGACGGUACCUCAGGAAUAAGUCUCGGCUAACUACGUGCCAGCAGCCGCGGUAAAACGUAGGAGGCGAGCGUUAUCCGGAUUUACUGGGCGUAAAGCGCACGCAGGCGGCUCCGUGAGUCGGACGUGAAAGCUCUCGGCUUAACCGGGAGAGGCCGUUCGAUACUGCGGGGCUUGAGGUAGGGAGAGGAAUGCGGAAUUCCCGGUGUAGUGGUGGAAUGCGUAGAUAUCGGGAGGAACACCUGUGGCGAAAGCGGCAUUCUGGCCCUCACCUGACGCUGAGGUGCGAAAGCGUGGGUAGCAAACAGGAUUAGAUACCCUGGUAGUCCACGCCGUAAACGAUGUCAACUGGGUGUCGGUAGUUUUACACUAGCGGUGCCGAAGCUAACGCG